Molecule: small nuclear RNA, 161 nt
Organism: Sorex araneus (European shrew)
Lineage: Eukaryota; Metazoa; Chordata; Mammalia; Eulipotyphla; Soricidae
Gene: U1
Rfam family: U1 spliceosomal RNA
About the family: U1 is a small nuclear RNA (snRNA) component of the spliceosome (involved in pre-mRNA splicing).
Source: Ensembl
UAGUGUACCUGGCAGGGGAGACAUCAUCAUCACGAAGGUGGUUUUCCCAGGGCCAGGCUUAUUUAUCACUCCCAAUGUGCUGACCUCUGAGACUUCCCUAAAUGGGGGAAACUUGACCGCAUAAUUUGUGGUAGUGGGGAACUGCGUUGAUGCUCUCCUCU